AGGCACAGUUUUCACCUUUGCUGGAAAGCAUGGGUAAUCUUCUGAAACUUCAUCGUGCUGGGGAUAGUCCUUUGCAAUUAUUGGACUUCAACGAGGAAUUCCUAGUAAGCGUGAGUCAUCAGCUCGCGUUGAUUACGU
RNAcentral lists this ribosomal RNA (138 nucleotides) under uncultured eukaryote. Its description in RNAcentral is "partial 18S ribosomal RNA". It matches the Rfam family "Eukaryotic small subunit ribosomal RNA", at positions 1517 to 1650 of the family's 1831-position model. The record is from RNAcentral.